RNAcentral lists this unclassified non-coding RNA (279 nucleotides) under plant metagenome. RNAcentral describes it as "partial contains small subunit ribosomal RNA, internal transcribed spacer 1, and 5.8S ribosomal RNA". The record is from RNAcentral.
UCUCCGUUGGUGAACCUGCGGAGGGAUCAUUAUCGAGUUUUUCUCCUCCCAAACCCCUGUGAACUUAUACCUUUUCUGUUGCUUCGGCGGGUUAACGCCCCCGAAGGCCCAAAAGGCCGCCGGAAUCAGGCGUCCGUCGUUGGACUCUAACUCUUGUUUUUCUUAUUUUUCAUUUCUGAGUGUACACAUAAUCAAACGAAUCAAAACUUUCAACAACGUAAACUUUGGUUCUGGUAUCGAUGAAGAACGCAUCAAAUCGGAAGAGCAUACGUUUGAAUU